GCAUAAGGGCAUAAGCUUACUUGACUAGUACCCCCUGUCCCGGUACUUUGCCGUGAAAGCGUGGCCUAACGAUCCUUCAACCGCUCCGGUAAUCCGAGCGUGGAGGUGACAGAAAAGUUACCACAGGGAUAACUGGCUUGUGGCCGCCAAGCGCCCAUAGCGACGUGGCUUUUUGAUCCUUCGAUGUCGGCUCUUCCUACCGUCCGCAUGCAUCGGUGCGGAAGCGUCGGAUUGUUCACCCGUCUAAGGGAUCGUGAGCUGGGUUUAGACCGUCGUGAGACAGGUUAGUUUUAUCCUACCGACCAUCUCCAUGCGUCCAGUACGUCGGGUCAGUACGAGAGGAACACCCGUCGCGAGCCUCCGAUCUCCCGGUUGUUUGACUUGACAGUGCCGGUCUGUCGCGCUCGGGGGACUAGCACUGAACGCCUCUAAGUGUCCAUCCCACCUACUCGCAUGGGUUGAGGGGCUUCCCUCGAUUCGCCCGGGUUGACGACCCUUUUCUCCGACCUACUGUACGGCGUGGAGCUUCUUGCGACCGCCUGAGGUUUGGUUCGGGUUGGCAUUCCCCCCGAG
RNAcentral lists this ribosomal RNA (573 nucleotides) under Giardia muris. RNAcentral's name for it is "partial 28S ribosomal RNA". It matches the Rfam family "Eukaryotic large subunit ribosomal RNA", at positions 2701 to 3401 of the family's 3401-position model. The record is from RNAcentral. Lineage: Eukaryota; Fornicata; Diplomonadida; Hexamitidae.